This 420-nucleotide ribosomal RNA is filed under the name bacterium Ellin6049. Its description in RNAcentral is "bacterial SSU rRNA". It matches the Rfam family "Bacterial small subunit ribosomal RNA", at positions 30 to 458 of the family's 1533-position model. The record is from RNAcentral. Lineage: Bacteria; Pseudomonadati; Pseudomonadota; Betaproteobacteria; Burkholderiales; Comamonadaceae.
AUUGAACGCUGGGGGCAUGCCUAACACAUGCAAGUCGAACGGUAACAGGUUAAGUUGCGAGUGGCGAACGGGUGAGUAAUGUAUCGGAACGUGCCCAGUAGUGGGGAAUAGCCCGGCGAAAGCCGGAUUAAUACCGCAUACGACGUACGGGUGAAAGCGGGGGAUCGCAAGACCUCGCGCUAUUGGAGCGGCCGAUAUCAGAUUAGGUAGUUGGUGAGGUAAAGGCUCGCCAAGCCGACGAUCUGUAGCUGGUCUGAGAGGACGACCAGCCACACUGGGAAUGAGACACGGCCCAGACUCCUACGGGAGGCAGCAGUGGGGAAUUUUGGACAAUGGACGCAAGUCUGAUCCAGCCAUGCCGCGUGCGGGAAGAAGGCCUUCGGGUUGUAAACCGCUUUUGUCAGGGAAGAAAAGUGGAUG